This 354-nucleotide transfer-messenger RNA is filed under the name Fimbriimonas sp. It matches the Rfam family "transfer-messenger RNA". From Rfam's summary of the family: Bacterial tmRNA, also known as 10Sa RNA or SsrA, is named for its dual tRNA and mRNA-like properties. Its role is to liberate the mRNA from a stalled ribosome. Lineage: Bacteria; Bacillati; Armatimonadota; Fimbriimonadia; Fimbriimonadales; Fimbriimonadaceae. The record is from RNAcentral.
GGGGGCGAACGGGUUCGACAGGGCUGGUUCGACUUUCGGUUGCGAGCCGAGGCGCCGUUGGCCUCGUUAAAAGCGGCAAAAAAAGUAAUUGCGAAUAACAACUACGCCUACGCGGCCUAAUCUCCGCGUGGUCCACCACUUCCAAGCCGGUCGGGAGUGUCAUGGGCCUAAGAAAAUCCGGAUCGUUUAGGGAGCUUCUGUUCGUAGCGACCUCGACUAGAUAAAUCGAGCUGGACGACCGCCCAGGUGGCCCCGACAGAGGGCGGCGUCGAGAUAAAGUACAGGGGAGACGCUCGUGGUUAAUUGAAGGGCCGACAGUUUUGGAAGGGAGUUCAAUUCUCCCCGCCUCCACCA